RNAcentral lists this ribosomal RNA (492 nucleotides) under uncultured bacterium. RNAcentral describes it as "partial 16S ribosomal RNA". It matches the Rfam family "Bacterial small subunit ribosomal RNA", at positions 29 to 507 of the family's 1533-position model. The record is from RNAcentral.
AGUGAACGCUGGCGGUAGGCCUAACACAUGCAAGUCGAACGGCAGCACAGUAAGAGCUUGCUCUUACGGUUGGCGAGUGGCGGACGGGUGAGGAAUACAUCGGAAUCUACUUUUUCGUGGGGGAUAACGUAGGGAAACUUACGCUAAUACCGCAUACGACCUACGGGUGAAAGCAGGGGAUCUUCGGACCUUGCGCGAUUGAAUGAGCCGCUGUCGGAUUAGCUAGUUGGCGGGGUAAAGGCCCACCAAGGCGACGAUCCGUAGCUGGUCUGAGAGGAUGAUCAGCCACACUGGAACUGAGACACGGUCCAGACUCCUACGGGAGGCAGCAGUGGGGAAUAUUGGACAAUGGGCGCAAGCCUGAUCCAGCCAUACCGCGUGGGUGAAGAAGGCCUUCGGGUUGUAAAGCCCUUUUGUUGGGAAAGAAAAGCAGCAGGUUAAUACCCCGCUGUUCUGACGGUACCCAAAGAAUAAGCACCGGCUAACUUCGUG